Molecule: transfer RNA, 72 nt
Filed under: Candidatus Woesearchaeota archaeon
Lineage: Archaea; Nanobdellati; Candidatus Woesearchaeota
Description: tRNA-Thr
Rfam family: tRNA
About the family: Transfer RNA (tRNA) molecules are approximately 80 nucleotides in length. Their secondary structure includes four short double-helical elements and three loops (D, anti-codon, and T loops).
Source: RNAcentral
GCCUCCGUAGCUCAGCGGCAGAGCGACUGCUUCGUAAGCAGUAGGUCGGGGGUUCAAAUCCCUCCGGAGGCU